GACGAACGCUGGCGGCGUGCCUAACACAUGCAAGUCGAACGAGACCUUCGGGUCUAGUUGCGCACGGGUACGUGACACGUGGGAACCUACCCUUAGGUUCGGAAUCCCUGCCCGAAGGGGGUGCUAAUGCCAGUUAGUGUCUUCGGGCCAAAGAUGUAUCGCCUUUGGCUGGGCGCGCGUUGGAUUCGCUAGUUGGUAGUGUAAUAGCCUACCAAGGCGACGAUCCAUAGCUGGUCUGAGAGGAUGACCAGCUACACUGGGACUGCGACACGGCCCAGACUCCUACGGGAGGCAGCAGUGGGGAAUAUUGGACAAGGGGCGAAAGUGUGAUCCAGCAACGCGGCGGGAGUCAUGAAGGCCGUAGUGUUGUAAAGUCCUCUUACACGGGACGAGAAUGACAGUAACGGGUGAAUAAGCUCCGGCUAACUCCGUG
This 433-nucleotide ribosomal RNA is filed under the name uncultured bacterium. Its description in RNAcentral is "partial 16S ribosomal RNA". It matches the Rfam family "Bacterial small subunit ribosomal RNA", at positions 28 to 507 of the family's 1533-position model. The record is from RNAcentral.